CACGUAGGGACCGAGCGUUGUCCGGAUUUAUUGGGCGUAAAGAGCUCGUAGGCGGUUUCGUAAGUCGGAUGUGAAAACUCAGGGCUCAACCCGGAGACGCCAUCUGAUACUGCGAUGACUGGAGUCCGGUAGGGGAGCAUGGAAGUCCUGGUGUAGCGGUGGAAUGCGCAGAUAUCAGGAGGAACACCAAUGGCGAAGGCAGUGCUCUGGGCCGGUACUGACGCUGAGGAGCGAAAGCAUGGGGAGCGAACAGG
Molecule: ribosomal RNA, 254 nt
Filed under: uncultured bacterium
Lineage: Bacteria
Description: partial 16S ribosomal RNA
Rfam family: Bacterial small subunit ribosomal RNA
Source: RNAcentral